This is a long non-coding RNA of Gallus gallus (chicken), 8124 nucleotides long. The record is from Ensembl. Lineage: Eukaryota; Metazoa; Chordata; Aves; Galliformes; Phasianidae.
CAGAGUAGGCAUGUGUUUAUUGGUGACGCACGUACACCCUGGUGCAAGGGGGAUCGCUCCACCUAACUUGUACACCAUCAGGAGAAAUCGUGCUAUAGAUAUAGAUCGAACUAAUACAUAAUCAAUAGUUGACAGGAAUUCGGAUACAUAUUCAUUACAUUCCCGAGAGCCCAUUAGCAUGCAGUCCCUCCCCCCCCUUGCGCGUGCGUAGUAGGUCAUGAUGAUGAAGGCUCAUAGUCUUCCUCGCGAAGGCUCGUAGCCUUCCUUGCUGCAAACUUCUGCCCCCAAAGGGGGGGCAUCUCCUGAACCGGUUUCAACUUGCCCUGUAGACAUCUAAUCACCUCCCUGCCAAAUGUUUUUGAGCUGCUCUCCAGUCCUUAUCUUUAUGGCCUUCAUCCUCCUUGAUAUUCCAGACCUAGUGUCUGUGAAAGUGCUUGGAAUCCCUUGUUUUCUAACACUCCUUACAUAAACUAUCUCUAUUUGCUCCUUAUUUCUACUUUGUGAAGCUACUUUCCCUUUUCUUGCUCUGAGGCCCUUCUCUCUAUAACUGCAGGGUCCUGUUCUCACUCUUCACAACCCUGAUGUAUUCUCCCCAUGGCUAAAUUUUGAGAUCCUUAUUAUAACAGCUCUUUUUUUUUGUGCCACAGAAGGAUCUUUUUCUUCACUGUGUUCAUACAUCUACUCUUUGGACAAUUUAUCAAAGUAUAUAUUUUCUGUUAACCUGUUCAUUCAUCUUAGAAAUUUUCUUUUAUCUAUCUAAUUUUCUUUUAAGUAGCUUUAAUACAGAGUAUCUGGAGGAUGUUUUUCAUUUGUAAUUCAGCAAAAUCUUAAUGCAUUCUCUGCCAUGCAUAUUUUUACUACUCUUCAGAAGCCCCAGAAAUCCAGGUCAUAGCAAUAUAUGUAUAGUGAAAGUGUGUACAUAUGCACAUUUUAUACUUUCUUAGCAACUUCUUACUAGUAUGUCUCUAAUUAUACAUUUUUUUUUUUUUUUUUUCCUAUGGGUUCUUGUCUGUCUGUUUUUUAUUUGAUUCCUUUUCAUGUUACAAGGAUUGUUCAGUUGCAUCCUGUGGGAUAGGAAAACAGUUUCUGAUGACAGUGUUCCAAAACCAAUAAAGUAUCAGCUUAGUACUCCUAUUUCUUAUCCUAGUAUUUGUAUCUAUACAUAAAAUGACUAGUGACCAUAUUUUCAUUCACCAAAAACAUACAAGCAAAACAGAAAAACAGAGGAAAGUAUACUACAGUAAACAUAUUCAAGGUCCAAGAAUUUGCCACAAACAAGGAAAAAAUCUCAGAUCUCUUAUCUCCUUUUUCUUAUCUUAAUUACACAAAUACAUGACUUGUAUAUUGCUGGUCAUCAAGGAGUGCAUAGAAUCAUAGAAUCGCUUGGGUUGGAAGGGACCUCAAGGAUCAUCAAGCUUCAGCCCACCUGCCACAUGCAGGGCCACCAACCUACAUAUCCAAUACUAGACCAGGCUGCUCAGGGCCCCAUCCAGCCUGGCCCUUAGCACCUCCAGGGAUGGGGCAUCCACAACCUCUCUGGGCAGCCUGUCUCAUAUUGCUUUGAGAAGAGUGAGGCAAUUUGAGUGCAUGCAGGAGUACCAAACAUAUUGAUGUCAUCCUGACUAUCCCAUUUCCCUUUAAUCCAGAAAGUGAUGGGAAUGUUCCAGGAUUUUUUUACAAAUGUUAUUCCUUAAAUAUAAUCCAAAUGUUUGUUAUCAUAAUGCCAUAACACUUCAUGCAGUAUAUAUCAUACUUAGUCUGGAGAAAAGCAGGCUGAGGGGAAAUCUCAUAACUCUUCCUGCCUGAAAGGUAGGAAGGAGAGUGCUGGUCUUUUUUCUUGGAUGUUAAGUGGUAGAACACAAUGAAAUAGCCUCAAGUUGUGCCAAGGGGGAUUUAGAUUGGAUAUUAAGAAGAAUCUCUUCACAGAAAUGGUGAUAAAGCAUUGGAACAGGUUGCUUAGAGAAGUGGUAGAGUUGCAUCCCUGGUAGUAUUUAAGAGAUGUGAAUUUGGCUCUUAGGGACAAAUUUUUAGUGGCAGAUUUGGUAGUAUUAGGUUGAUGGUUGGACUUGAUUUUAAAGACCUUUUCCAGACUAAUUGAUUAUGUGAUUCUAUGAUUCCAUGAAAAGGAAUGAAUAAUUCCCUCUGUGUCUUCUAGUUCUAGCUUUCUUCAUUUGGGGAGAAACACACAGCAUAUAUUGAUUAUAGAUAUUGUUCCUAGUGCAGUUGGUAAGAUAAAUUAGUGCUAAAUACAUUGUUGAUAUGGAUUCAAUUCUCCAGUUUUCGACUGGGUUACUUACUUGAGAGAAAAAUCUCAGUAAACAGAACUGUUUUCUUGUUUGGGUUCACCUCACUGCUAAAUCUUGAGGCUUUGUAAAGUGUAAUGAACUGUUAAUUUGCAGACUAUAAUGGAUUUACUUUGUUUCCUAUAGCUCACAAUAAGGCAGAGAAAGUUGCACGUUAAUCACAUAACUGUUACUUUACUAAUGCUUUUUUCCCCGUAUUUUAAAUGUGGAAGUAUUUUGCAAUGACUACAGCUAUUAAAAAAAAAAAGAAAAAAAAAAAAGAAAUUAUCAUAAAAUAGGAACAGAUCAAGUUUAUAUCCAAUUUAUUACUAUUUUAUCCUGAGGGACUGAGAUUUUAGUCUACAUUAAAAAUGUUUUAAAUAUUGUGUAGAGGGAAAAGUAUUUAAGGUCCCAGUUCACCAAUCCGUCCCUUUCAGCAAAACACUAAAAAACAUUUGAUUCCUAUUAACUUUAAUGGGUUUAAGCAUGUUUAAAUUUAAUGGACCUAAAGUUGUAACAAAUCAGUGGAUCUAAGGCAGUUUUUUUCUUCUGCAUCUAUUCUUGCCAGACAGAAUCCUGAGCAGUUCACAUAACAGUAAGUUCUAAAAGUCCUCAUGGGGCAAUGUGAGCUUUGUAACUCCUAUCAAUUAUUAUUAUUAUUUUAAUUUAAGGUAGCAGACAGACUUUCUAUUCUAGCUUUUUGGACUGAGAUGAGGCUUUUGGGAGUGAACAAGAUGAAUUAUCCAGUGAAUCCAUCUUGCAUUACUUUGAAUGGAACUUAUUGUCUGAAUGAAGGAAUAUCUCUUCUACGCCACGUGGAUGAUCAAAAUAUUCUUUUUCCAUAAAGGUCUAAAAAUGCUCGGGUUUCAGGCUGAAAUUUGGUGCUUUCUGAGACAUAAAAGGUCAAAAUUUUAGUUAUCAUUUCUUUCAAUAGCAUCAACAUAACAAGAGGCUUUAAAGUGCAACAGUGAUUCUGGUCUGGCCUUAGAUCUAACAGAAGUUACAGAAAACAUUUUUCCACUUUUAGGUUGGUCGUUUUUUUGUUGGUGGUGGUGGAUGUUUUUUUUUUUUUUGUUUGGUUGGUUGGUUUUGUUUGUUUGUUUUUGCUUUUGCUUUUUGUUUUUGUUUUCCUUCUGUCAUGGUUUUAUGAUUUUUGUUAUUGGUAUUCCACAUCAUAACAUCAUGUAAAGCACUGGGAGUUAAAGAGUUAAUGCCUCACUUCAGUGGACUGCUGAUUUUCCAGAUACCUGGUUCUUAGAAAAGAACUACAUACCCAAAGGACUUUGCAUCCAGAAGGAAAGAUAGAACUCCUGGCAAGUCAUGAGACUGGUCUCUUUCUCUUUCUCAUUGCCUGGCAGUGUGUGUGCUCCCCAGCCAUUUUGCCUUCAAUUCAGAGUAAGGCCUUCAAUUUCGGACACUCCUUCUCUCUUCUUUUUUUGUUUUAUUAGCCUCAAUUCCAAUUAUACCAUAUUAUACUGUGUUGUCUUGCAUUCCAAUAUCAUAUUUAGUAAAUUAACUUUCCUCCUCAGAUCAUUGCUGCUGUUAUAUUGUUUAGGCCCAUCUCCAGUCUCACUACCCUUUCCCUUUCUUUCCCUUCCCCUUUUCUCAGGGCAUGAGUCCAUAGAUCCACUACCCCAUUAGUCACAGUACUGAGCCAAACUGGCCCGUAAAUGGUUGACAUUCCCCCCACAUCCCCCCCCCUUUUCAGGCCAGUGGGCCUGUGGGCCUGCUGUCCCACUGUCACGGACACAGAGAGAUCUAGAGAUAACUCCAUGACACCUUCCAUAUUCAUAGACUAUAAGUAAGAAAUUAGAAAUUAGAUUUCUAGCUUAUUGCCUGAGCAUGCUCAAUUCCAUCAAGUCUUACUGAAAAUUUCAUUAUGGUUUCUUUCUGCUGAAUAUAUAGUAUAAGAUACUUUCUGGCCAGAAGUCACUGGUUUAACUAAGCAAUCACAUUAAUGCAAAAAUGCAUAUGCAAAAUGAAUUUGAUCUGUGGAGCACAAUUCCACAGAAUAGUAGGUAGGUUUAAUCUUAAACAGACAAGUGAUUAUUUAAAAAGUGAAAAAUGAAGUGAAGUAAAUAAAUCCCAGUUUUAAGUAAAUAAUGUCUAGUCAUGGAGUCUGAGGAAGGGGUGCAUGUGUAUUUCAAGGCAAGAGAGGUUUUGCAUAGAUUUCUUCCUGGGAAUUCAUUAGGCAUUUCAUUAUUUUAGAUUGGUCACUAACCAAUAAAUUUUCCACUUUUCAUCAGAUAUCUUGACAAAGUGUAUGAAAAUCUCUUGGUAUUUGUCUAAAAUCUAAUCAGGCUUUAGUCAUAUAUAUGUGACACAAAGAAUAAUUUUAAAAACUGUAACAUUUUCAGUUGAUAAGAACCACAUUUGUUGCUGUUUAAGCAAUACAGCUUACAAAAUAUGGCGUACAGAUGGAUUUUUGUUAAUUUUUAUCUUUUUUUUUUUUUUUACAGCAGGUUAGUGUCAUCCCAUCAUUUAAUCCUCUUCUUCUUCUUAAAAAAAAAAAAAAAAGCACUUAUCCACUGCAAUACAUAGAAAUCUGAUUUUUCUAGCUCCAAGAAAACUUUUUUUUUUUUUUUUUUCCCCCGACAUUAGCAUUUAGAAAGUCAUAGAGCUGCUUUUGCACCUUAGGUUUUAUAAUUUAUUUGUUUCUUUAUUUUUCUUAUAGUCCAGUUUUAAUAGAUAGAUUUUUCUUCUAUUAAUGAAGAAUAAAAUAUAAAAUUUAUAUUUCAUUUAUAUUUGCUAUCUAGUUGUCAUUCUUCUGAUUAGCUAAAAUAGCCAAAAUAAUAACUUCAGCUUGAAGGGACCAGCAAGGAUCAUUAAGUCCAGCUCCUGGCUCCACACAGUAUCAUCCAAAAUACAAACUGUGUUUCAGAGAGUGUUAUCCAAAUGCUUCUUAACUCUGGCAAUCUUGAUGUCACAAUCACUUCCCUGGGGAGCCUGUUCCAGUGCCUAGAAUCUUCGUGGGCAAGCUAUAAACUGUAAUGAAGUUUUCCCUCAGUCUCCUCUUCUCUAGGCUGAAUAGACCAGGUGAUUUCAACCACUCUUGCUCUCUAGACACUUCACCAUCUUUGUAGCCCUCCUUUGUAUGCUCUCUCAUAGUUCUCUUUCUUGCAUUGCAGUGCCCAAAACUUCAUUCUGUACUUGAGAUGAAACUGCACGAGCACACCUUUAGACUGACCUGUCAGCCAGUUGUAUUAUGUUGGAUUGCCGAGGUUAGCUGCCUCGGAGCUGUCCCAGCCAGAACCACAGCAACUGAUCAUGAGGUACAGGGGGGUUUCAGCCGGUUCCUUUAUCCAGGGAAUCCUGAGAUAACAGAGCAGUCCGGCAGCUCUAGCGAGAGCGGCUGACAUGAAGUGUGCGUUGCCAGGGCAACGGCUCUGCAUCCACGCCCCCUGCCUAGAAAAAGCUUUGGGGAGGCACCCAGACAGAGAGGAGUCAGUGUGUGAAUCAUGUGGGCCGUUCAGAAGAGGUGAAACGGGAGAGGUGUGUUGCCUGCCUGGUGCCCAGGUGAGAGAUGGUGCUAGGAACAUCAGUCACCUCGUUAAGCCCUCCGAUUAUUAUUAUCCAUUACUGGUUUUUCACAUUGGAAAUAAAGAGGCACCAAAGUAAAAUUGAAAUACCUAAAGCUCUUUGAAGAAAAGCAGAAUUUCUUAUCAGUAUUUGUUUAUACCUGGGAAGAAAAGGAAAGCUAUUUGUCACCCAGUAUUCAAGAUGACUCUUACUGCCUUAAAUUAAAUAAGUAUAUGAAAAUAUUAUUAAAUUAAUGUGUAGUUAAUUUUGCUUGGCUGAUUUUAAGGAAGUAAUCCUUGGUACCCAAAACUAUGAAGAUCUUCUGUUCUCAGCAGGAAAGCAGUUACUUUUCAUGCAUAUGCAAAGCACAGCAUAACAAAAGACCUCAUGAUCCCAUAACAACUUAUCCCGUAUGAAUAAACAUUAUUAAGCUGUAAUCUUUACUACAUGUUGUUCUUUAACAUGCUUUUGUUUUAGACUGCCUUAGAAGAUAAUGUUCUCUCAUUUGUUAGGCUAGAAUUCAGACACCUUAAGUAAUUUUUUAAUUUUCUUUUUAUUUUUUCCCUCCUUUUUUUUUUUUUUUUUUUUUUUCCCAUUUACAGAUUUGUCUGCUUGCAAGUUUAUGCCUUCAUCAGUUCCAUAUUUUCUGCUUACACAGAUACAUUUGAAUGUGGAAAAUUUAGACCUGCCAUUUUUUAUUUCAGAGAGAAUAGUUUAGGGGAAUGACAAUGCAAUAAAAGGUAAUGGACAGGUGAGAGAUGGAAGAACUGUCACAUUGACAGUAAUUUUAGUCUUUUCUCUCAGGCUUAUUUGCUUCUCAUGAUGCAUAACUGCAGGAGUUAUGUAAAUAUUUUAAUCAGGUAACAAAUACUGAUUGAAUUACAUAGUGGGACUGAUAUAAUGGGACUUAAGCUGGAUUUGUGGUGAUUUUUCUGGUGAUUAUUUUCUACAUAUUCAUCAGUGUCUUUAAAUCUAAAGUAUCUUUCAAAAAAUUUUAAAGCUUUUAAAGAACCUGAAAAUGCUUGCAAAACACCUGGGAGAAAUAAUGAUUUAUUCCACUGAAUUUUUGCAGUGUUUUAUAGUGUUUCAUUCCAUAAGAUUAGAAUAGACAUCUACUCCAAAUUUAGGAGAUGUCUUUUUACAAGAAUGAUAAAAACCAUGCCUACAAACCCAGGCCUUGUAUUCCCGGAAGCUUAUCUCAGAACAUAAACACCAGUAACAAACUGCUUGUCAAUAUUGUACAAAGAAGAAAUAGAAAGGUAUAACUGUACCAGUGCAUAAGUUGAUGGUAUAACUGCACCAAUGGGCAAGGGAAAAGCCAUUGAUAUAAUUUAUUUGGACUAUUGUAAGGCCUUCAAUGGGGUCCUACAAAUCAUCCUUCUCUCCAAAUUGGAAAGAUAUGGAUUUAAUAUGUGGACUGUUCAAUAAACGAGGAAUUGGUUUGAAGAUUGUACCCAGAGAAUGAUGGUCAGUAGCUCAAUGUCUAGAUGGAGAUUGGUGGUGAGUGGUCUCUCUCAGGAAUCAUUACUGUGACUGAUGCUCUUUAUUGUCUUCAUCAGUUACGUUGACAGUAAGAUCGAAUACAUCCUCAGCAAGUUUGCAUGCGACACCAAGCUGUGUGGUGCAAUAGACACAGAUCAGGACAGGAUGACAUCCAGAGAGGCCUAGACAGGCUCAAUCAGUGGGUCCAGAAGAACAUCAUGAGGUUCAACAAAGCCAAGUGCAGGGUCUUGUACCUGGGUCAUGGCACCCCCUGCUAUCAAUACAAGCUACAGGAUGUAAAGGUGGAGGUCAGCCCUGCCAAUAAAGCCCUGGUGAUAAUGGAUAAUGUGCUGGAUAUGAGCCAGCAAUGUACCCUCACAGCCCAGGCAGUCAAUCAUAUCCUGGGUUGCAUCAAACAGACAAGUGAGUUGAACUUGCUCCUAUACUGUGCAAUAGUGAGACCUCACCUGGAGUACUGUGUCCUGAUGUGAAGCCCGCAGUACAGGAGAGACAUGGACCUGCUGGAGCACAAUUUCAUUCAUAAUUUCCUUCUUGAUCUAUAGAAAUGAAAGUCAACUAUUCUUUCACAUUCUGUGAAACUGAUGGAAAGAACAGUCUACCCCAUUCUUCUGUAGUUUACUUUUUUUGGUACACAUCACUUAUUUUAAGGAGACUCCAAAGAACAAUUUUGUAAUUUUAUUACCAGAACAUUUUUGUAACAGUUGAUGGAGUACUAGAAGUUAUUGUGUUGCUGAUGCUGAUAUAUAUAUAUUUUUUUUCAAUAACAUUUUUCAAAUGCAUUUCCUUCGGUAAUUUUACUAAGCAAUUUUUUAAAAUUCAC